UGAAACCAGGAUUAGAUACCCUGCCACUUUUAAUUAAGAGGUUUUGGAAUAAUAGUAUUAAUGAAAUUUAACGGAUUUGGCGGCAAGAUAGCCCCUUAGAGGAACCUGCCCUGUAAACGAUGAACCACGAGGGACGUAACUUUCUUUGGUAAUCAGUUUGUAUACCGCUGUUGUCAGUUAGAUUCUUGAGAAUAUUUUCGUUUAUGAUAAUUUCAUUGACUUCAAGUAAAGGUGCAGCUUAUGUGAAAGGUAGAGGUGGGUUACAUUUAUAAGAAUAAAACGGAUAAGAUAAAUGAAAGGAUCUUUGAAGGUGGAUUUAACUGUAAAACUUAAGUAGGUUUGGUGAGAGC
This 350-nucleotide ribosomal RNA is filed under the name Tetraclita japonica (Japanese acorn barnacle). Its description in RNAcentral is "partial 12S ribosomal RNA". Lineage: Eukaryota; Metazoa; Arthropoda; Thecostraca; Balanomorpha; Tetraclitidae. The record is from RNAcentral.